GCCGAGCUGGGUAACGUCAGCUUAUGACCUGAGUGGGGGCAACAAGAUGAUUGAACAAGGCUAUGGCCUGCUAAGCUGGACCGGAGGUUGCAACUUGCUGGCUUGCCCACUCCAAGUUGAGAGUUGAGUCAUGAGUCCUUUGCGAAGGCAUGGGUUUCCUGGUCUCCUAGACAGGAGGGCACCGCGUCAGGCUGGUUUCACAGAGCAGCGACAACCUCCGGUUCUUGACAGUGGAGGGAUAACAGGCUGCUGCACCUCCUGUCCCACCAAAUGAGCUUGGUGAGCCCUUGCCCUUGAACAAUCAUUUUU
Molecule: non-coding RNA, 309 nt
Organism: Vigna angularis (adzuki bean)
Lineage: Eukaryota; Viridiplantae; Streptophyta; Magnoliopsida; Fabales; Fabaceae
Rfam family: Plant signal recognition particle RNA
Source: Rfam